GCCGAUGUGGCGGAACAGGGAGACGCGGCAGACUCAAAAUCUGCUCCUAGCAAUAGGGUGCUGGUUCGAUUCCAGUCAUCGGCA
Molecule: transfer RNA, 84 nt
Filed under: Chlamydiae bacterium GWA2_50_15
Lineage: Bacteria; Pseudomonadati; Chlamydiota
Also listed under: 7 other names
Description: tRNA-Leu
Rfam family: tRNA
About the family: Transfer RNA (tRNA) molecules are approximately 80 nucleotides in length.
Source: RNAcentral